AUCAACCAAGUCCAUUCACACAGAGGAGAGGUCUCAUCAACCAAAUCCAUUCACACAGAGGACAGGUCUCAUCCACCAAGUCCAUUCACCCAGAGGAGAGGUCUCAUCCACCAAAUCCAUUCACCCAGAGGACAGGUCUCAUCAACCAAGUCCAUUCACACAGAGGAGAGGUCUCAUCAACCAAGUCCAUUCACCCAGAGGACAGGUCUCAUCAACCAAGUCCAUUCACACAGAGGAGAGGUCUCAUCAACCAAGUCCAUUCACCCAGAGGACAGGUCUCAUCUACCAAAUCCAUUCACCCAGAGGACAUGUCUCAUCCACCAAGUCCAUUCACCCAGAGGACAGGUCUCAUCCACCAAAUCUAUUCACCCAGAGGACAGGUCUCAUCCACCAAGUCCAUUCACCCAGAGGACAGGUCUCAUCUACCAAGUCCAAUCACCCAGAGGACAGGUCUCAUCCACCAAAUCCAUUCACCCAGAGGACAGGUCUCAUCCACCAAGUCCAUUCACCCAGAGGACAGGUCUCAUCCACCAAAUCCAUUCACCCAGAGGACAUGUCUCAUCCACCAAGUCCAUUCACCCAGAGGACAGGUCUCAUCCACCAAGUCCAUUCACCCAGAGGACAUGUCUCAUCCACAAAAUCCAUUCACCCAGAGGACAUGUCUCAUCCACCAAGUCCAUUCACCCAGAGGACAGGUCUCAUCCACCAAGUCCAUUCACCCAGAGGAGAGUUUGGUCAUCAGAGCUGAGAAGGGGGGUUCAUUUGAAAUGAUAAAUUCUUCUCAUUAUUUUGUGUUCCACACAUGAUCCAUCGCAGAGCGUCGCUGUUGAACACACUAGUGUUACUGUAAUCUACCUCCCUCAUCCCUAUGUAUGAAUCAUCCUUAUUAUUUUUUCUUCGAAUGUAAUUCUAUUUCCAAGACACAGAGAUAAAUUAGAGUCAAAUUAAAUAACGUAAGAGGGUUUCCCAGUAUGACAGUGAGGGAUCUAAUUGGCAGUUCAAAUGCAACUGUUCAUUGCAUUAGGGUAAUAAGGCUAUAACAGAAUUGAUCUGACUUUCUCUUAAGAAAACAGUCCCAUGUAAUCAGUUCAAUGCUUCGCAGUGAAUAUAAUUGGCAAAAAAAAUGUUGUCAAAUGAAAAUGUUCUCAGUGAAUAUAAUUUGGCACAUGGAUUUUGGGGCACGCUGCAGGAUACUGCUGGAUGGUUUCCA
Molecule: long non-coding RNA, 1210 nt
Organism: Esox lucius (northern pike)
Lineage: Eukaryota; Metazoa; Chordata; Actinopteri; Esociformes; Esocidae
Source: Ensembl